GCGGAGGGAUCAUUACCGAGUUUACAACUCCCAAACCCCUGUGAACAUACCAAUUGUUGCCUCGGCGGAUCAGCCCGCUCCCGGUAAAACGGGACGGCCCGCCAGAGGACCCCUAAACUCUGUUUCUAUAUGUAACUUCUGAGUAAAACCAUAAAUAAAUCAAAACUUUCAACAACGGAUCUCUUGGUUCUGGCAUCGAUGAAGAACGCAGCAAAAUGCGAUAAGUAAUGUGAAUUGCAGAAUUCAGUGAAUCAUCGAAUCUUUGAACGCACAUUGCGCCCGCCAGUAUUCUGGCGGGCAUGCCUGUUCGAGCGUCAUUUCAACCCUCAAGCCCCCGGGUUUGGUGUUGGGGAUCGGCGAGCCCUUGCGGCAAGCCGGCCCCGAAAUCUAGUGGCGGUCUCGCUGCAGCUUCCAUUGCGUAGUAGUAAAACCCUCGCAACUGGUACGCGGCGCGGCCAAGCCGUUAAACCCCCAACUUCUGAAUGUUGACCUCGGAUCAGGUAGGAAUACCCGCUGAACUUAAGCAUAUCAAA
RNAcentral lists this ribosomal RNA (533 nucleotides) under Fusarium sp. RNAcentral describes it as "eukaryotic LSU rRNA". The stretch from base 164 to 317 matches the Rfam family "5.8S ribosomal RNA". Lineage: Eukaryota; Fungi; Ascomycota; Sordariomycetes; Hypocreales; Nectriaceae. The record is from RNAcentral.